This 1068-nucleotide long non-coding RNA is filed under the name Capra hircus (goat). RNAcentral describes it as "lncRNA (ENSCHIG00010014234.1)". The record is from RNAcentral. Lineage: Eukaryota; Metazoa; Chordata; Mammalia; Artiodactyla; Bovidae.
GGUUAGAGGGAUAGGAAAUACAACGACAUCUGUCACUGCAAGAGGUUUCUCAUUACCCCUUGGACCUGGCAGAUACUCACAGGGGACUCUUUUCUCUCGUGUGUACUUUGGUGACUUCUUCCAACAUUUCUGUUAGGUCUUGCAUACUGCACUCUUGUAAUGAUAGGCAAUGCCUUUCCUUCACGUGGCUGCCCCAGAUAUCCUUGGCUUCAGUCUCCACAGCCUCUUACCAGGAAGCCAUUAGCCCAAGAGCCCUCUCUCUUGGUCAGGAUUUCUUUCCAAAACACCCAAGGCUGCCUUUUCCUACCAAAGGUUACACAUGUAACCAUCCCUGGAAUACCUCUGACCCUCCAUCAGAGGGAAAUGCAGUGGCAAAUGGUUGGCUGGCGGAUAUGAGCUAUUCCAACUUUUUCACGAAACUCAUGUCAAUCACUGCAUCCCUAAGUUCCCCAUUUUCUGGGCACUUACAGAAGCUCUCCAUGUGGUCCCAGUGAAGCCCCUCUCACUGUGUAUUUAGUUUAGAAGUAGCUCCCAUCCCCAACUACAAUGCUAGGUAGAGAGAGAAGCAAGGAGGGGAACUUUAUGUUACAGCUCUUCUCCCCAAAAAUCCUUCCCCCAUAAAAAUCCCACUUCCACUUUCUAAAUCUUUUACAUAUCUUUGAAGUUUGGGCAUAUGGCCUAGCACCCUUUUGGAAUGCAGCAUGUUCACUAUCAUGAUUCAGCUUCAGCUGAAAAUUAAGAAUAUGCUGCAGAGUCCAAAACUCAACUCAACUCCUGACUUGUUUGCCCUACCAUGUUCCCUCUGUUAGUAGCCCAACCUAGAAACUUCGAUCAUGCUAAAAGCCCCUCCAUCACCAAAACUCAAUGCUUACAUGUCAGAAAUGUAAAUAUUUGCAUACUUUUUCCUUGCUUUGAAACUAGCAACCAAUAUCCUCUCAUCUGGACUAUUGCAAACAACUUGGGCUCCCUCUUAAUUAUUUUUUCAUUUGAUAAACAUCUGUUGAGGAUCUUCUUUAGUCCAUGAACUUUGAACAAAACGAUUAAAAACGCAAACCUGCACUCAAGGAU